UACGUAGGGGUCGAGCGUUGUCCGGACUUACUGGGCGUAAAGCGUGGGUAGGUGGUCUGGGAUGUGCCGUGUGAAAGCCCCGCGUUCAUCGCGGGGAGGUCGCGGUAGACACUCGGACUAGAGGCAUGCAGAGGGCAGUGGAAUUCCCGGUGUAGUGGUGAAAUUCGUAGAUAUCGGGAGGAACACCAGCGGCGAAGGCGGCCUUCUGGACGGUGACUGACGCUGAGACGCGAAAGCGUGGGGAGCAAACAGG
RNAcentral lists this ribosomal RNA (253 nucleotides) under uncultured bacterium. Its description in RNAcentral is "partial 16S ribosomal RNA". It matches the Rfam family "Bacterial small subunit ribosomal RNA", at positions 524 to 776 of the family's 1533-position model. The record is from RNAcentral.